UGAAAAAGUUAUAAAGCGUUGAAAAUAACAUAUGUAAUUCAAAGGCAAUAAGUGAGUCAUUUUGCUUAUAGUAAUGGUUGGAACCAUAUCUUGAGUUUUCAUGUAAAUUUUUGGCUCAAAAUUUCUAAAAGUGUGUUUUAUUAGGUUAAAAAGAUAUAUAUUAAAAUUUUAUGGUGUUUAAGUACUUAUUUUGUGAGAUAUAAAGAAAUUUGCACACAUGUAUAUAUAAGCAAGGAUUUGAAGCUACUAUUAGGGUUUUGGCAAUAUUUUAAGAUCUAUAAUAAAUUUACAAUUGAAAUUUGUUAUAAUAAUUAUUAAAAAUAUGAGUACUUCAUGUAAAAUUUGGAUUUGUUUGAAUGG
Molecule: long non-coding RNA, 360 nt
Filed under: Physcomitrium patens
Lineage: Eukaryota; Viridiplantae; Streptophyta; Bryopsida; Funariales; Funariaceae
Description: long non-coding RNA (PPAT_LNC014468)
Source: RNAcentral